AUUGAACGCUGGCGGCAGGCCUAACACAUGCAAGUCGAACGGUAACAGGAAGCAGCUUGCUGCUUUGCUGACGAGUGGCGGACGGGUGAGUAAUGUCUGGGAAACUGCCCGAUGGAGGGGGAUAACUACUGGAAACGGUAGCUAAUACCGCAUAACGUCGCAAGACCAAAGAGGGGGACCUUAGGGCCCCUUGCCAUCGAAUGUGCCCAGAUGGGAUUAGCUAGUAGGUGGGGUAAGGUCUCACCUAGGCGACGAUCCCUAGCUGGUCUGAGAGGAUGACCAGCCACACUGGAACUGAGACACGGUCCAGACUCCUACGGGAGGCAGCAGUGGGGAAUAUUGCACAAUGGGCGCAAGCCUGAUGCAGCCAUGCCGCGUGUAUGAAGAAGGCCUUCGGGUUGUAAAGUACUUUCAGCGGGGAGGAAGGGAGUAAAGUUAAUACCUUUGCUCAUUGACGUUACCCGCAGAAGAAGCACCGGCUAACUCCGUG
This 490-nucleotide ribosomal RNA is filed under the name uncultured bacterium. RNAcentral describes it as "partial 16S ribosomal RNA". It matches the Rfam family "Bacterial small subunit ribosomal RNA", at positions 30 to 507 of the family's 1533-position model. The record is from RNAcentral.